Molecule: ribosomal RNA, 500 nt
Filed under: uncultured bacterium
Lineage: Bacteria
Description: partial 16S ribosomal RNA
Rfam family: Bacterial small subunit ribosomal RNA
Source: RNAcentral
AUUGAACGCUGGCGGAAUGCUUUACACAUGCAAGUCGAACGGCAGCACGGACUUCGGUCUGGUGGCGAGUGGCGAACGGGUGAGUAAUGUAUCGGAACGCGCCCAGUCGUGGGGGAUAACGUAGUGAAAAUUACGCUAAUACCGCAUACGAUCUAUGGAUGAAAGCGGGGGAUCGCAAGACCUCGCGCGAUUGGAGCGGCCGAUAUCAGAUUAGGUAGUUGGUGGGGUAAAGGCCCACCAAGCCAACGAUCUGUAGCUGGUUUGAGAGGACGGCCAGCCACACUGGAACUGAGACACGGUCCAGACUCCUACGGGAGGCAGCAGUGGGGAAUUUUGGACAAUGGGCGAAAGCCUGACCCAGCCAUUCCGCGUGCAGGAUGAAGGCCCUCGGGUUGUAAACUGCUUUUGUACAGAACGAAAAGGUUUCUACUAAUACUAGGAGCUCAUGACGGUACUGUAAGAAUAAGCACCGGCUAACUACGUGCCAGCCGCCGCAGUAA